AGGGCUGCGAAGCCGCGAGGUGGAGCGAAUCCCAUAAAACCGAUCGUAGUCCGGAUCGCAGUCUGCAACUCGACUGCGUGAAGUCGGAAUCGCUAGUAAUCGUGAAUCAGAAUGUCACGGUGAAUACGUUCCCGGGCCUU
This 140-nucleotide ribosomal RNA is filed under the name uncultured Pseudomonas sp. RNAcentral's name for it is "partial 16S ribosomal RNA". It matches the Rfam family "Bacterial small subunit ribosomal RNA", at positions 1243 to 1382 of the family's 1533-position model. The record is from RNAcentral. Lineage: Bacteria; Pseudomonadati; Pseudomonadota; Gammaproteobacteria; Pseudomonadales; Pseudomonadaceae.